AUACGGAGGAUCCGAGCGUUAUCCGGAUUUAUUGGGUUUAAAGGGUGCGCAGGCGGCCAUUUAAGUCAGCGGUUAAAUCGUGGGGCUCAACCCCAUUCUGCCGUUGAUACUGGGUGGCUUGAUUGCGGUCGAGGUUGGCGGAAUUCGUUGUGUAGCGGAGAAAUGCAUAGAUAUGACGAAGAACACCGAUUGCGUAGGCAGCUGACCAGACCGCAAAUGACGCUCAUGCACGAAAGUGCGGGGAUCGAACAGGAUUAGAUACCCUGGUAGUCCGCACAGUAAACGAUGAAUACUUGUUUUCGGCGAUAUAAUGUCGGAGGCAAAGCGAAAGCGAUAAGUAUUCCACCUGGGGAGUACGCCGGCAACGGUGAAACUCAAAUGAAUUGACGGGG
This 392-nucleotide ribosomal RNA is filed under the name uncultured bacterium. RNAcentral describes it as "partial 16S ribosomal RNA". It matches the Rfam family "Bacterial small subunit ribosomal RNA", at positions 523 to 918 of the family's 1533-position model. The record is from RNAcentral.